Molecule: long non-coding RNA, 1164 nt
Filed under: Callithrix jacchus (white-tufted-ear marmoset)
Lineage: Eukaryota; Metazoa; Chordata; Mammalia; Primates; Cebidae
Description: lncRNA (ENSCJAG00000081740.1)
Source: RNAcentral
CUAUCUUAUAUUGAUAGUGAAUGCCUGAGGAAGAUAUGCAGGAAUGUCCUUAAAUUCUGAUAGAUGCAACUGUUGGCGGCCGCUGAAGUACUGGUGUUAUGCUUGUGCCUGUAUGAAAUUCUACAAUGCUGAAAACCUCAUGCACUCUAGCUGUGAAUGCAGUUCUACCUGAAGCAAAACUCUUCACUCUAAUUGUUUUCCCAAUCUUUGAAACCAGUUUCAAGAGUCACCAGAAACCUGUAGUUUAAGGCACCAGACACAUUCCUCGGCUGAGCCUUGUAGUACCGAUAUGCUGGACCUAUUCAGUAAAAUAUGCCAUAAAUUAUGAGUGCUUUAUCUGAAUGCAUGGGAUACUUUCUGCAAUGGUAGGAUUUAUUACCCAGAGUUUAGGAGCCAGACCUGGGUUUUGGGGUAUUUUUCUAUGUUGGUGAUCAGUUGAAAUCUCUUUCCUUUGCUGCCAGGUUUGGUUAGUCUGGUCAGGAGUGCAGAUUAUGACAAAGAACAAAGCUAAAAGACCUGAGCCAUUAAGGUUACAGUCUCAAUACCACCAAGUUAAACAACCUAGUUAAAUGCAAGACCAUUGGUUGGAAUGAUAUUGGACAGACAUGUCAUAGGCUUUGAAACAUCAGUAAGAAUUGGGCUCAUUGUUUCAUGUUGGCUACAAUGAAGGCUACCUCUUUUCUUCUCCUCUAAAUAUUAGGUAGAUCAUAAAUAACAGAUAUUAUGGAUUCUAUCUGUAAAUGUGUCUCAGGAGAUCUGUGAUGAACUGGAGUGGAAAAGCCAUUCAGGGCACAGGAGCACUUGGGCUUCCUCUUGAGGCUCAGGUUUGACUACUAGGUUGUGUUCUAUGUCUACAGAUUUCAAUGGCUGAAAUUCAGUUCUCUAAUCACAACUCUCCUUUUAUCUAGAAUAAUUUACAAAGCUUGAGAUAAUGCCUUUGGGAAGAAAUGAUGUGUAGUGGAAGUAUCACUAAGAAUUUAAAUGUGAUUUUUGAGACUUGUAUGGAGAAUACAACAUAUAAACCCACUUGAUGAAUUGUAAGAUCUAUAAAAACAAAUAAAGGCAUAGGACAUUCAAUUUUUCUUCAGUUUCAAGUAUAAUAGAAUCAUACAGCUAAAGAAAACAUCACCAUUCUAUAUUUUUAUUAAAACAUAAACAAACAUG